RNAcentral lists this unclassified non-coding RNA (310 nucleotides) under Hevea brasiliensis (rubber tree). Lineage: Eukaryota; Viridiplantae; Streptophyta; Magnoliopsida; Malpighiales; Euphorbiaceae. The record is from RNAcentral.
AAAUAUCUGUUUCGAUUUCAGAGACUAAAAUCGAGGGCCUUCUACUGAAAUUUGUUGCUUCAAAGCAUUUCACAAUGUUAAUUUCAUUGGUUUUACAUGCCGAAUCUACAUUUUUCAUGGGAAUGAAGUGAUCAAUGUGAUUGGCGCAUGACUAAGGAGGACUGGGUAUUGGUCUAAUUAUUCGGGGUUAUCAGUAGGACCUCCAAAAAAGCUUUGUAAAAAGCCACUAGUAAUUCAAGUUCAAUUCAACAGCUAUACAGUGUAAUCUAGCCUGGACAAACCACAGAGAGCAGGUGAUAGAGAAUUGGAG